This 22-nucleotide microRNA is filed under the name Oreochromis niloticus (Nile tilapia). RNAcentral's name for it is "oni-miR-10851". The record is from miRBase by way of RNAcentral. Lineage: Eukaryota; Metazoa; Chordata; Actinopteri; Cichliformes; Cichlidae.
ACUCGGAUCUGGAGGUUUUUCU